GGCUCUCUUAUUUCUUCAGAACCCCCCUUGAGGGACGGAUCAUUGCUUAAAACAGAUUUUUCACCCCAGAAGUGGAUUAGAUCUUUUUCUACAUGCAGUGAACCUGCUAAAAUAGAGAAGAUAGUCAACACCUCGGUCAGAAGGGGACACACUAGCCCUGCUUAUUUUACUGCAUCUGGUGGAGGUGUUUUAAGUACUCCCGCUGUAAAUGCUCCACAGGACAAAGAAGAGCUCCAGUUGAAGGCGCCUUCCUGAUGCAACUAAGGGAAACGACCAUUUGAGGGUUUGUUAAGACCAUGGGUCUUGACGACAUUGACAUUGUGACACUAUCUUGUGGCCACACUCUGGGAGCUGCCCACAAGGAGCGAUCUGGAUUUGAGGGACCAUGGACUUCCAAUCCACUUAUCUUCGACAACAGUUACUUCA
Long non-coding RNA from Helianthus annuus (common sunflower), 426 nucleotides. RefSeq lists it as uncharacterized. The transcript has 6 exons. The record is from RefSeq and is a predicted model, not a curated record. Lineage: Eukaryota; Viridiplantae; Streptophyta; Magnoliopsida; Asterales; Asteraceae.